CUCCAAACACCAGGAUCCGUGUGCCUUCACAAACAAAGCCAUGAGCGGCACAACCAGGGGCAUGUGAGGACAAGGUAACUGCUGCGAUCCCAAUUACACCAGCAAGCUGACAGACCUGCUGUUUGGUCUCUCAUUCUGGCGGCA
This is a long non-coding RNA of Sinocyclocheilus anshuiensis, 144 nucleotides long. RefSeq lists it as uncharacterized. The record is from RefSeq and is a predicted model, not a curated record. The transcript is spliced from 3 exons. Lineage: Eukaryota; Metazoa; Chordata; Actinopteri; Cypriniformes; Cyprinidae.